UACCAGCUCUCCGAGUUGUAGGGAUGAUUAUUGGGCUUAAAGCGUCCGUAGCUGGCUUAGCAAGUCUCCUGUUAAAUUCAGCGACCUAAUCGUUGAGCCGCGGGAGAUACUACUAGGCUAGGAGGCGGGAGAGGUCGACGGUACUUUCGGGGUAGGGGUGAAAUCCUAUAAUCCCGGGAGGACCACCAGUGGCGAAGGCUGUCGACUAGAACGCGCUCGACGGUGAGGGACGAAAGCUGGGGGAGCGAACCGGAUUAGAUACCCGGGUAGUCCCAGCUGUAAACUAUGCGGGCUAGGUGUUGGGGUGGCUACGGGCCACUUCAGUGCCGCAGGAAAGCCAUUAAGCCCGCCGCCUGGGGAGUACGGCCGCAAGGCUGAAACUUAAGGAAUUGGCGGGGAGCACCACAAGGCGUGAAGCUUGCGGUUC
This 427-nucleotide ribosomal RNA is filed under the name uncultured archaeon. RNAcentral's name for it is "bacterial SSU rRNA". It matches the Rfam family "Archaeal small subunit ribosomal RNA", at positions 474 to 903 of the family's 1478-position model. The record is from RNAcentral.